GUCCUAAGGGAAGAAGGAAGUGACGGUACCUUAGGAGGAAGCCCCGGCUAACUACGUGCCAGCAGCCGCGGUAAUACGUAGGGGGCAAGCGUUAUCCGGAAUUAUUGGGCGUAAAGAGUACGUAGGCGGUUCUUUAAGCGCAGGGUUUAAGGCGAUAGCUUAACUAUCGUUCGCCCUGUGAACUGGGGGACUUGAGUAUCGGAGAGGAAAGCGGAAUUCCUAGUGUAGCGGUGAAAUGCGUAGAUAUUAGGAGGAACACCAGUGGCGAAGGCGGCUUUCUGGACGAAAACUGACGCU
Molecule: ribosomal RNA, 297 nt
Filed under: uncultured bacterium
Lineage: Bacteria
Description: partial 16S ribosomal RNA
Rfam family: Bacterial small subunit ribosomal RNA
Source: RNAcentral